GUCCUGAUCUACUGCUUGCAGGGAGCAAACUUUAGUUGGGGCUUUCUUUGUCUGCACCUGUGGGUAUUUCCAGAUUGCUGGCUGCUUCCACCUGAAGUCUGAGAUAUGUAAAGUGAAAGAAAGCCCUGAGAACUCACCACUCUGUUGUUCUUCAGGUCCCAGGGUCCCUCAUCCAUCUGUCUUUUCUUUACCCUUCAGAAACUGUGUGUUUCCAAGAACAACGUCCAGCGUCUUUAGUUACACUCGGCAGGUGGAAUGAUGCCUCCGUUCCAACUUCCUGGACCUGGAGAUCACUGAGCUUUUUAUUUUAAUCAUCAUAUUUUUCAUCUUUAGAAAUUCUUUUUUAAAAAUCAUUUGUGCUUCUUGUUUACAGCUUUCUUCUUUUAUUUCUUUAAAAUAUCAAUCAUAAUAAACGUCUGCAUGUCUGCUUCUGUUGCUUUGCACUCACGUGAUUUAUUUUCUUACUUAGGAGACAGGUUGCUCUUUUCCCUCAACGCUACCCACGAACUUCUUUGAGAGAAUACUGUAUGCAGCCAGCACUAAAAUGACAGAGUCCUCACGCACCAUUAAUUUAGGCUCAUCGUUGGCAAAGAGAAGAGCUCUCAGGGCAAACAGUCCUGGAAGGAAGAAGGCAGAGUCCAUGGCUUCUUCCACCUGGUGCACAUCCUGCCAGCCUGAGCAGAGCCGGUGGAAGGAGGAGAAGGACCAAGUACGUCCCGGAAGAGGAAUUAUUUUAUGUUGUUAAUGGAAUGUUCUUUUUUUGUGUUUGUUUUGUUAUUUGAAAUUUUCUUUAGUAAUUUUCCAGGCUCGGUAUAUUUCUCUGUUUCACUGUUUUUCCUCUGUGCGUAGAUUACAUGUUUUCAAUAGCAUCUGCUGUGAAUUUUAAUUACGAUGCUUUGCUCAAAGGGGGGC
Molecule: long non-coding RNA, 912 nt
Filed under: Macaca nemestrina (pig-tailed macaque)
Lineage: Eukaryota; Metazoa; Chordata; Mammalia; Primates; Cercopithecidae
Description: lncRNA (ENSMNEG00000046068.1)
Source: RNAcentral